CAUAACCGCGGGUACGCCUAUUCGAAUAGAUUAAACUCUGAUCAGAGGUGUACCACUGUACCCACAAGACACAUUCCCACAACAUGUUACCAUGCGCCUUAGUACCACCACGAUACCUCGGAAAGGAACUGUGACAAUACCCCUUGCAUAACACAACUCACCACAGUGCACCGUACCUGGAUCAUAAUCACCCUCUACAACCAGAGGCAUGGACUCCCCAGCGACCCCCACGGACUUCUCGCCGCUUCUCAGUCUGGCACUCCAUAAUGAAUCAUGCUAUACAAAAGGUAAAGCCGUUGCCCACGCUGGCUUGUGGUUGGCACGGUAAAAGUUUCACAACAGUAGCUCGCGAACCGGUCCUUAAUUGUCAUGAGCACAACCAUCAAAACCAUAUGCUCACAACCCACCUUAACCAGGUUUUAAUUAUCAAUUAAUUAACAUCACACGAUCACCCAUCGUGAGCUACCAUUUAAUGUAACCAUAAUUAAAAUAAUAAUGUAACAUAGUCUAUAAUUAAUCCCUUUAGUUAGCUAAUGUUUCUAAGCACGGCUAAGCAAACUUACAUAUAGCAUUUAGCUGAACCAAUCCAACAUAUAAGGUUCAUGUUAAUCAAAUUAUAACCCAUAGGAAAAUAAGAUCAUCUUCGGCCGUUAAUUAAUUGGGAAGGUUCACCACCCGAUGACAUUCGAAAACAAUGCAUAGUUGAAAUAAAAUAAUAGCUUUAAACGGGUUCAACAUGCUCAAAGAGUUGUUUGGGAUCUGUGUGACUUGCCUUGGGCUUCCGCAAACGCUUCGGAACCUUCCUCAACGGAAACGCUCUCCUCCGGAACGUCGGAAACUAAAGCAAUUAAACAAAAAUCAACAAAACAGUACAAAAACAAGCAUAAACAGUACAUGUGGAUAUUUUUAACAUGUAGAUCUUGAUUUUAGAAAAAUUUAGCAACUUGAACCACCUGAAACGGAUCUACGAUUAUUUAGUUAUGAUUUUCCGAAGAUUUAAUCUAUUAGAAAAAAAAAGAAAAAGGGAAAGAUGAUGAUGUCAUGAUGACGUCAUCAAUGGCGGCCUUGGCUCGGGCGGCACGACCACCGGCGCUACGGACCUUGGUCGGGCGAAAAGAGGGCACCUACGCGUAGAGGGCAACAAGACGAACGCAACGGUACUCACCAAUGCGCCCAACGACGACCGAUGGUGGCCGGCGACGAGAGGAGGCGGCGCGGCGGUUCGGUCGACGGCGGCGACGGGUCUCCGGCGACCGGCGACAGCGGGGAGAGGGCGGCCGAGGUUCCUCACCUCCGUGCGCACCUAACGGCGGCGAGAGGAAGCGGCGGCGACGGCGAAAUCGAUGGCGCGGCGCGGCUGGAGAUCGCCGGCGGCGACGGCGAGACAAGGCGGCGUCGGCGGCGAGCUACGGGGCACGGGAGAGGACGGGAAUAGGGGCAAACGAAAGAGGAGAACUAGGGGGUCCUAUUUAUAGCCUUGGAUUGAAGAGAUCAGACUCCAAACGAGAGGAAUCGAAACCGGAAAAUCUUCGGGUUAGUUUGCAGAGAUAAAAUCAAAACGAGUUUGAUUCGGACAAGAUACACAACCAUUUGCUCCGAUUCUUGAGGGGAAAGAUAGAGGAAGAUGUGGGGAUAAAAACCCCCCUAACAAUCGGACUCGAUUGCGACAGAGGGCGGCGGUAUCGAUGGUGCAAACGGCGGCUCGGACGGCUCGGCCUGGCAAUCGGCCGGCUGGAGGAGGAAGAUGGGUCCGACAUGUGGGCCCCACAUGUCGGUGACCCGAGGAGGAGGGGCGGGCGGCGUCGGCUGGGCCGGCUUGGGCCGGUUCGGCCGCGCGGAAGAGAGAGGAAUGUUGGGCCGAAUUCGGCCCAACGGCUUAGGGAGGGGUUUUUGAACUUUUUUGAAUAAAAAUAAUUUGUGAAUUGUUGUUUCAAUUAUUAAAAAUACUUCCCUUGCUCAAACAAUUCCCAGAAAAAUCUAGAAAAUAGAGGAACAAGUAAAGUAUUUAAUAAAAUUUUAUCUAGCUCAUUUUUAUGUUGAAAAUUUUCCUAGAUAAUUAGGGUUUAACUUGUAGGCUUUUAAAAUAAUUUCUAAAAAUGAUUUAAACAAUGUAUUUUUACAUUAGACGAUUUUUAGGGCGUGAACAAGCUCAAGGCUAGAUAUGUGCCAUCCUCUAAUAGCUAAUCAUUCACUCGAACCUAUGAUAGAUUAUAUAAUUUGUGAUAGACUCCUUGUCACGCCCGGAAUUUCUAUCCAAAAUUCCAAACGCUUACAUGUGUAUUAAACCCUCGUCCAGGAAUCAACCGAGGCACACAAUGACAAUUUGAUAAUAGAGUACAAAUAAAUAACUAUUUAAUACUCGCAAAAAUAAAAGAUUACAGAGGUAGAUAGUUCCUCUCAAAGAAUAACAUUCUACGCAGCGGAAAAAUAAAACGAUAACAAACUACGGAACAGCUAUGGCGACUCCACUCCACAGGCAUCUUAACCAAGAACAAGCUCAAUCCUCCAGAUCAUCACCUUCACUGAAAAACUCCUCUUCUGAUGAAUGAAUAUUGCAAGAAUGAGCAUAUGACAUACUCAACAAGCCACACAGCAAAUAUGCAAGUGCACAGGAUAACAAAGGAUGGCAUAAUAUAGCUCAUUUGCAGAAACAGCAUUUAAUAAAUAUUUAAGAGAAUAGUAAAAACAGUUGAAUAUUUAAUCAAUAUUAAAUAAACACCAUACAACACACCCAUGUUGCACAGGCCCAACCACAUUUGAACAACCAACCCCAGUUGAACAAAUUAAACCUCCAAACCAGGAAUUAUCCAUUCCAAACCAGGAGUCAAAUUAAUUAUCACAUUAUUAACAUUGAUGAGUAGUGUGAGACUAAUCACGAAAAACAUUGCUCAACUCACCCAUAACCGCGGGUACGGCUAUUCGAAUAGUUUAAGCUCUGAUCAGAGGUGUACCACUGUACCCACAAGACACAACCCCACAUGAUGUCACCAUGUGCCUCAAUACCACCACGGUACCUCGGAAAGGAGUUGUGACAAUACCCCUUGCACAACAUAACCCAUUACAGCGCACCUUUCCUGGAUCAUAAUCACCCCCUUAUAAACAAGGCCUGGACUCCCCAGCGACCCCCGUGGACUUCUCGCCACUUCUCAGUCUGGCGCACUAUAAUGAAUCACGCUAUACAAAAGAUAAAGCCGUUGCCCACGCUGGCUUGUGGCUGGCACGAUAAAUGUUUCACAACAGUAGCUCGCGAACCGGUCCUUAAUUGUCAUGAGCACAACCAUCAAAACCAUAUGCUCACAACCCACCUUAACCAGGUUUUAAUUAUCAAUUAAUUAACCUCACACGAUUAACCAUCGUGAGCUACCAUUUAAUAUAACCAUCAUUAAUAAAAAUAUAACAUAGUUUAUAAUUAAUCCCUUUAGUUAGCUAAUGUUUCUAAGCAUGGCUAAGCAAACAUAUAUAUAGCAUUUAGCUGGACCAAUCUAAUAUAUAAGGUUCAUGCUAAUCAAAUUAUAACCCAUAGGAAAAUAAAGUCAUCUUCGGCCAACAAUUAACUGGGAAAGGUUCACCACCCAAUGACAUUCGAAAAUAAUGCAUAAGUUGAAAUAAAAUAAUAGCUUUAAAUGGGUUCAACAUGCUCAAAGGGUUGUUUGGGAUCUGUGUGACUUGCCUUGGGCUUCCGCAAAUGCUUCGGAACCUUCCUCAAUGGAAACGCUCUCCUCCGGAACGACGGAAACUAAAGCAAUUAAACAAAAAUCAACAAAACAGUACAAAAACAAGCAUAAACAGUACAUGUGGAUAUUUUUAACAUGUAGAUUUUGAUUUUAGAAAAAUUUAGCAACUUGAACCACCUAAAACGGAUCUACGGUUAUUUAGUUAUGAUUUUCCGAAGUUUUAAUCUAUUAGAAAAUUGGAAAAAAGAAAAGAAAAGGAGAUGAUGACGUCAUGCUGACGUCACCCCACGGCAGCCGGCUAGGGUUUGCGACCUCGCCGGAGCUAGGGCGAUCGGCCGGGCAAUUGGAGGGCACCUACGCGUAGAGGACGACGAGGCGAACCCAACGGUACUCACCACAACGACAAACGACGAACGAUGACGGCCGGCGACGAGAGGAAGGCGGCGGCGGCUCGGGUUGGACGGCGACGGCGAGCUACGGCGGUCGGCGGCGAAGGGGAAGGGGCGGCCAAGGUUCCUCUCACCACGGCGCACCUAACGGCGGCGGCGGCAGACGGCGGCGACGGCGGAGGCGGCAGCGCGACGCGACCGAAGACGGCCGGCGGCGGCGGCGAACUUAAUGCGCGCGGCGGCGGCUCUACGAUGCACGAGAGAGGACGGAAGAGGGGGCAAACGAAAGGGGGCGAUGAGAUGGUCCUAUAUAUAACCUUGGAUUGAAGAGAUCGAACUUGUCACGCCCGGAAAUUCACUAGUAAUUUCCGAACUAAUUUGUGUAUAAAAUCCUCGUCCAGGAAUCAGCCGAGGUACACAAACUGACAAUUUAAUAUACAAAUCCAUCAUAAUAACGUUACAUACUUACAAAGAAAAGAAAACAGCAGCGGAAUUAACGGUCUAGCGAUGGCUUCAGCUCCACUCCCACAGGCAGCUCAACUGGGGUAUAAGCCAAACGUCUUCUCCUUCCGGAUCCUUUAUCUUCAACUGAGGUUUGAUGAUUAUUGCAAGAAUGAGCAUAUGACAUACUCAACAAGCCACACAGCAAAUAUGCAAGUGCACAAGGAUUCCAAAGGAUGGCAUAAUAUAGGCUCAUUUGCAAAAGCAGCAUUUAGCAAAGAUUUAAGAUAAGUAAAACAGUAGAGUAAUUAAUCACCAAUUUUAAUCAACACUGAACAGCACACCCAUGCUGCUCAGGCCCAACCAAACCUGAACAACCAACCCCGGUCAUACAGAUCAAACCUCCAAACCAGGAAUUAUCCAUUCCAAACCAGGAGUCAAAUUAAUUAUCACAUUAUUAAUAUUGAUGAGUAGUGUGAGACUAAUCACGAAAAACAUUGCUCAACUCGCCCAUAACCGCGGGCACGGCUAUUCGAAUAGUUUUACUCUGGCCAGAGGUGUACCACUGUACCCACAAGACACGAUUCCACACAUGUUGCCAUGCCCCGAAAUACCACCACGGCAUUGCAAAGGGGGAAAUCGUGACAAUACCCUUUGCACAACACAACUCAAAACAGUGCACCGUACCUGGAUCAUAAUCACCCCCUUAUAAACAAGGCAUGGACUCCCCAGCGAUCCCCAUGGAUGUCACGUCCUGAUAAAUUCAUCCCGAAAAUAAAAAUCAUUCUCUAAAAGGAAUAAUAGAAUUAAUUAAAAUUCGAAAAGAAAUUGGCAAACACUAAAAUACGUGCAAGAAAAAUUCAAAUGUGGCCCGGAGAAUUUUUGUUAAAUUCUCCUUGGUCUAAAAAUAAGCCCUCAAAUUUUACUUGAAUUUUCAGAGCACCGGAAAUAUUUAUUAAACAACAACAUUUAUCAAAGUUCAAUAAAAAGAAAACCUAAAAAUCCCUCCUCUUCCUCCUUUGGGCCAAGCCCAGCCCGAAGUCCUUCCCUCCUCCCUCUCUUUCUCUCCCUCUCCUUCUCUCCCUCCUCUUGGGCCUCCUCCCCUCUCGGCCCAGCUCCCUUUCCCCCCUCUCUCUCCCGGGCUGCCUCUUUCCCCCCCCCCUCCUUCCCGGCCUGCCUCGGCCCAGCCGCCCGGCCCAAGCCGCCUCCCCCUUCCCCCCCCCUCCUGGGCCGGCCGCCCGGCCCAACCCGAGCGGCGCCCUCCCGCCCGAGCGCGCACGUGCGCGCGCUGACCGCGCGCCCCGCGUGGGGCCCACGCGUCAGGCCGCCGUCGCCUUCUUCCUCCAGCCGCCGCCCGGCUUCCCUCUCCCCGUGCGAACCCUAGCUCACUCCCUCCUCCAAAUCCGCUUGAUUCGCUUGGUUAAUUCCAAAAUUAAAUAGGGGAAAUUAAUCCCCAUUGACUCCUCUUCAUUUCCCCCUAAUUUCCCCUUUGAAUGCCGCCCCCAAUCGCCGGGAACGGCCGCGCCAAGUCCGGCCGCCUUCCAUUGCCGCCGGCCGGCUUUUCCGCCGCCGUUCCGACCUCCCCCGUGGCCGGCUCCCUCUUCUCUCAUAUAAAAUAGAACCCCCUCUUUACGUUCUACCGUUUUAGCCUCUUCCCGAGCUCUCCCGUGGUCUCUAGCCACCUCCCCACCGUCGCCCUCUCUCUCCCACGUUGCCGGCCGGCCUCCAGCCGCCUCUCCCGCCUCGCCGGAGCGUCGUCCGGCCGCGCCGUCGCCUCCUCCAGCGUCGCCGCCACCUCCUCCACCCCGGCUUGCCCUCCGUUUCGCGAGGUGACCCCCGGAGCUGCCUCCCCGCCGUCGCCCUUCUCGUUUCUCCGCGCCGGCCGCCUCCAGUCGCCUCUCCCGCCUCGCCCGUGCGCCGUCCGGUCACGCCGUCUUCUCCCUCGGCCUCGCAGCCACCUCCUCUCCCUCGGUCAGCCCUCUGUUUCGCGGGGAAAACACCGGAGACGCGUCCUCGCCGGCGUCCAGUGGCGUCGCCACCACUUCUCCGCCUCCGGCCGCCUCUGCCGCGUCCCCGGUGCGCCGGCCGACGUCGCCACCACCUCUCCCGGCACCGGAGUGCCGUCCUCUCUCCCGGCCAGGCCACGGCGUCGCCCGAAUUUCGCCGGAACGCCGUCAUCUCCGCGCCGGCCUCUCCUUCCUCCUCGUCGGCUCGUCGCCCCGCUGCACCACCACCUUCACCAACAUCGCAGCGGCGUGUUCCACGCCAUCCCCUCCUCCGCUCAGCCGCUGCUGCCUGCCAUCAUCGUCAUCGUCGUCUCCGUUCGUCCUCGCCGAUCGACGUCCCAUCGGUUGCCCGGCUCGUCGUCUCGCGGCGCCGCCUCCGUCAUCGUCAUCGUAGCGGCGUGUUCCACGUCGUCCUCGUCCCCGUGCAGCUGCUGCUGGCUGCCCCUCGUCGCCCCCUCGCCGGUCCCGGUCGUCGUCGUCGUCGUCGUCCUCUCGUCGUUCCCGGUCGUCGUGGCGUUCGUCCCUCCGUCGAGCCGUUCUCGUCCGUCGUCCGCGUUCGUCAAGCGAGCCGCUGCAGCCCCGUCCUCGUCUCCGUCCUCGGCUCCGCGUCGUCAAGCCUCGUGCCGGCCGCGUCUCGCCUUUGUCCAAGGAUCGCCGCCGAAGUCGUUCCCUCGCCGUUCGCCUCCGUCGUCCCCGAGCUGUCCUCGCCGGUCCCGUUCGUCGUUGUCGUUCCCACGCCUCGUCGCGUGGUGGUAAGGAUCCGUCCUCUCGCUUCCCCGCCCUCGUCCUUCCGGUGUCGCCCCGUACCCGUUGUGCGGUCGUCGACCCCGGUACCCGUGUACCGGUGUCGGUAGUCGUUCACGUGUGCGGGUGGCGACCGUGUAGUGUCCGUGUUAGUGUGCCCGCUCGGUAGCCGCGUGGUUUCCACGUGUGCAACCCGUGUGGUGUCUAGUGGAGUCCGUUUGUCGGCCACUCGCCUCGGUUGACACACGGGGUCCGCUUCCGUCGACCCGUGGACCGUCUCUGUGUACCCGGUCUACCGUGGUCCUUUAGGUUGACAUGUGGGGUCCGCAUGUCAACGGCGCAGCCUUCCUGUCUUUUCCAGGCUAGCGCUUACACAUGUUUUAUAAUUGCAAAGCUUAAUUAUAAUAAUUCGCAAAUCUCCAUAUAACAGCAUUAAACUUCGGAUGAUCAUAUCCUGGUCAUACGAGCUCCGAAUCGACCCGUUCAAGUCUCUUAAUGUUUGUUAUAACCUAAAGAACCCUGUGCUUUGUUUUUAUGUAUUGUUAUUGCUUCUUUAUAGGCUUGUAGCUUUGUUUGUGUGCUUCGCGUAGCUUCUGUCGUUCCGGAGGUUCCCGAAGCGUGGUUCGUGGUCGUCGCCGAAGGUUCGGAAGGCCGUUCUCUCUGAGCAAGGCAAGUCACAUCAUCCUUGAACAUAUUGAAUCCCAGUUUGUAAAAUUAUGUUGAUUUAAAUUAUUGCAUUACCGCUUUAUUUAAAUUCCCGCGUUAUCACUGUUUUAUCUAGCCAUGCCUAUUUACCUUUGUUAUGACCUUAUUAUUGCUAUUGUUAUUAUUACCUUGUUCACCCUAGAGUAAACAAAACCUCAACUAGUGGACACUCUACUCGUGGUAUCCCUAGUUUAAAUUUAGGUAGAUGCUUCGCAAUUUAAUAGGACAACAUUAGUUAGAUUUUAUAACUUUAGACUUUGGGAAUUUCUCAUAUCAUUUGGACACUAUGGAAUUGUUGGAUUAUGGUGGAAUUGGACAUACACCUCUCUUCCUCUUUCAAAACCCCUAAAGCCUGUUUUCGGUGGGGUUUGGGUGCAUGCCAGUUAUGGGAAGUAGCACCCCGGCCACUAUAAGGAUUAAGCUCGGGCCUCUGUUGCAAAGCACUACCGUACUAACCACAUGUCUAAUGGGUAAGGCUUAACUCGGUGCUCAGUCUAGUCCUGAACAAAAGGACACGGAUUGGAGAUGGAUGAAGUCGGGUGUCGAUGGACAUUCUCCAGGGCAAAUGAAGGCUACACGAGCUGCGGCCCGGUAGUCGAGAUGUCGUAUGGCAGAGGGUUGGUGCCCUGCUGCUAGGGGCUCAGUUCUGCCUGCCUGUCCCGGGUAUCCCGGCCGUAGGUGGGAUUGGGUCGGUACUUUUGUUCACGGCUAGGAUGGGUGAAGGGUUAUGUCACAUCUUUACGACGGGUUCCAAGGCCAUGGAAUGCGGAGUAAAGAUGUGUCUUGUGGGUAAAGAUGUACACCUCUGAUCAGAGUAAAUCUAUUCGAAUAGCCGAGCCCUCGGAUAUGGGCAAGCCUAGCAAUGUACCCAAGUCAGUGUUUUAAUUCUUAAAAUUUGCUCAACAACUAAAAUAUGGAAUGGUUGGCCUGGGUUGGCUUGGGACGAGCUGGGACCCAGGGUCGGGUUGCCAGUUCGGUCCGAAUCAUCGUAGGCCUUGGGUUAAGGCAGGUUCGUGAGGGUUCACGGCCUUGAUUAAUAAUACUGUGUAGCUCUAGGAUCGUCUUUACAAAAUGGCUUUGGGCAACUAAGUGGCUUUUAAAUGCUGUUUACUGCAAAACUUAACCUCUAUGUUAUUAUCCCCUUGUACUCCUUUGCAUUAAUUGUGCAUCCCCGGUGUGGCUUGCUGAGUACUGUGGUUGUACUCAUUCUUGCUCAAUCUUUCCCCUCUUCAGUAAGAGAAGCUUUGGAGAAGAAGUCUUAGGUGGAGUCCUGGCUUAUACCCCAGUUGAGCGCCUGUGAAGAUGGAGCCGUAGGCCCGCUAGUCCGCUGCUGUUUAUUUUUGAUUGUCAGGCCUUAAGUGCCUUUGUAAUAAUGUAAAUAUUAUCGAUAUAAUAAAGAUGUGUCUUUUAUAUCAUGUUUGUGUGGUGUACCCCGGCUUUUCCUGGGACGGGGAUUAAUACACUAGCGUUCGGGAAAAGGCAAUUUUCCCGGUCGCGACAAGCUGGUAUCAGAGCCAUCUCGACUGUAGGAUAAGCCAAGUGGAUAAAACCUAAGGACAUAUGUUAUAAAUAAAACUAUUUGCGAAAGUUCCUUUUUUUCCUCCCCCUAAUGCUAUUUGCAAAAGGUUUACUCCCUUCUUCCUUCUUCGGAUUUCAACUAGUACUAGAUGGUCAGUUUUGCGAAGAAGAAGAUGUCGUCAGUUGUUUGCCGAAGCUCCGGAAGACUGCAGGAUCCGCUAGCAAAGUGUAGGAAGCAGUGAAGCCAGCCGUGAAGCUGAAGCUAAGAUCUUGGAGAACCAGUCGCAGAACCUAAGCCGCCCUAUAGGGUAGUGUUGUUAGUCGUGUGUUUCUUGCUUGUGUGUGUAGCGCGUGGUUUGCAUCGGUGGGAGGUGAUGUAACCAUGCUAGGUUGUUUGCUUAAUCAACCUGCAGAAUAAGCGAAACAAACAACACAUCAACAAAAAGAGUUAGUUCCUUUAAGGUCUUGUCCCUAGUUCUGGUCUAUUCUUUCCUUGUAUGCUUCCCCUCUCAACCUCUACCUUGUGACAGAUGGAUAACAUUGGUAACAAAGGCUACGGGAAUGAUGGAUCCGAUGACUCAAGAACCCAAGCCAAUGGGAAUGAGAAAAGCAUCAACGAAACCUCACCAGAGCUAAUCCAAAUUGUGGUUAACCAAACCGACAUGUUGGCAACAGCCUUUCAACUAUUACAGAAUCGGAACAAUCCAGCAGGGGCAACCAACGUUCAAGUACCUACAGUCCAGCAACAGUGCAAGUUAUCAGAAUUUCUCAAAACGGGGCCUCCAACCUUUGCCAUGGCCGUCGAUCCUAUGGAAGCCAGUGAUUGGUUGCGCACAGUCGAGAAGAAGCUAGGGUUGAUUCAGUGCACCGACCAGGAGCGGGUUGGCUUCGCAACUCAUCAGUUGGUUGGACCGGCUUCAGAGUGGUGGGAUAGCUACGAAGCAUCACGGCCAGAAGGACAUACCAUCACCUGGAACGAGUUUUCAUCUGUAUUCAAGAGAUCACAUGUUCCCGCAGGAAUGAUCACACUAAGAAAACGAGAGUUUCGCUACCUGAAGCAAGGAGAUUUGACCGUCACAGAGUACCUGCAUGAGUUCUAUCGUUUGGCUCACUAUGCACCAGAAGAUGUGGAAACGGAUGAAGACAAACAAGAGAAGUUUCUCCAGGGGUUAAAAGAUGAGCUUGCAGUGCAACUACUUCUAGAGGAUUAUGAAGAUUUUGAGAAACUUGUGGACAAAGCCAUGCAACUCGAAAGUGAGCAUAAUCGGAUGACGAACUGCAAGAGAAGGAUUGUCAACAUCCCAGUAUUUCCAGGUGGUAACCAAAGACAGCGCACUGAGCCACUUCAGAUCACCGGAUCUCCUGUUGUGCAUCAAGAGUUCCUACCCCAAGAAGAUGAAUGCAAUGCAGACAACAACACUAGCAAUACUAAUAAUGAUGAUACCACCAACAACCAUGGUUCUUGCCCCAUUAGUGACCACUCGAAUAAAGCGUGCAAUGUCAGUAGCAUUCACCAAGAUGUCAACGAUAGUAUCAAUGUUGGAACCCAGAAUGACAACCUUAGCAAUUUCGACACUGAGAAAGACUCCAAUGGUGAUAGCAACUAUGGUACCACUGAUGCCAAUGUUAGCAAGGAUUUCCAACCACCAAUUCCAACUCCAAGUCACAAUGAUCAUCCCCAGAUGGACAGCUCAGCAAAGAAGACGUUGAUUUGUUACAACUGCAAAGAACCAGGUCAUUUCUCUAGAGAUUGUCCACAGCCGAAGCGUAACCUGCGCCAUCACUCCGGCCAUUAUGCAAGAAGAAGACAGGUCACUCGCCUUGUGGUCACUGGAGCAAACGCCGUACCUGUGAGGCCUCAUGUUAAUUCUAACCCAUAGUGGAAACAAUGUACCGAUGUUAAGCACCUUCCCUUUUUGUUUAAGACAGUGCCUUGUAUUCAUGUAAUAAGGGAGACAUGUGUAAUAAAAACAAGUUCUAUGAGGAUUAUUUCGGAAGAGUACUUGGUUGACAACGUUCGAAAGGUGAUUGAUAAGAGAAAUCUAAAAAGAAUACGUCAGGGUUGAAUGUGUAAAGGAAUACUUUGAAUGCUAAAUAAUAACGACAUGAAGAGAAUAGUGGAAAGUGAAUCCGAGUUGCUUGUUCGUGAGAGCUAUUCCCAGUUAUGAACCAAGUGAUAUGUUCGAAGAUAGUCUACAGAGGUCAGACAACGAAGCUUCAGAUUUGGCAGGAUAACGAUCAAACAAUAAGAAGCCCAGCAGUAAAGCUAUUUAGGAAGACGUCAAAGCAUGUCAAGUGGGAUAAUUUGGUUCCCCUGGGAAACAUAAUUCAAAGGCAAAGUUAUCGACCCUUGCAUCGAAUAGCAGAAGUAGCCUGCACCCGGAGACCAGGAAGGCUAAUAUGAGGCAGUUGGUGGCAAGUUAGAAGUAAAUGACAAGCCAGUCGAAGUCAGCUAAAGGUUCAACCAAGGACAAGUCAGGUGAAGAGAAGACUCCAUCUGCAACAGGAGAUCGAGCCAAGCAGUCCAGAGUGGAGAAGUUGUGCUAGGCAAGUUUGUUAUAGAAGACGGAGCGGAAGAAGUCAGACAAGAAGAGAAGACCGCCCAACCUAUCUUCUUGCUAGCCUCCUCGAAUCUCGGGGACGAGAUUCCUGUAAGGGGGGUGGAUUUGUCACGUCCUGAUAAAUUCAUCCCGAAAAUAAAAAUCAUUCUCUAAAAGGAAUAAUAGAAUUAAUUAAAAUUCGAAAAGAAAUUGGCAAACACUAAAAUACGUGCAAGAAAAAUUCAAAUGUGGCCCGGAGAAUUUUUGUUAAAUUCUCCUUGGUCUAAAAAUAAGCCCUCAAAUUUUACUUGAAUUUUCAGAGCACCGGAAAUAUUUAUUAAACAACAACAUUUAUCAAAGUUCAAUAAAAAGAAAACCUAAAAAUCCCUCCUCUUCCUCCUUUGGGCCAAGCCCAGCCCGAAGUCCUUCCCUCCUCCCUCUCUUUCUCUCCCUCUCCUUCUCUCCCUCCUCUUGGGCCUCCUCCCCUCUCGGCCCAGCUCCCUUUCCCCCCUCUCUCUCCCGGGCUGCCUCUUUCCCCCCCCCUCCUUCCCGGCCUGCCUCGGCCCAGCCGCCCGGCCCAAGCCGCCUCCCCCUUCCCCCCCCCUCCUGGGCCGGCCGCCCGGCCCAACCCGAGCGGCGCCCUCCCGCCCGAGCGCGCACGUGCGCGCGCUGACCGCGCGCCCCGCGUGGGGCCCACGCGUCAGGCCGCCGUCGCCUUCUUCCUCCAGCCGCCGCCCGGCUUCCCUCUCCCCGUGCGAACCCUAGCUCACUCCCUCCUCCAAAUCCGCUUGAUUCGCUUGGUUAAUUCCAAAAUUAAAUAGGGGAAAUUAAUCCCCAUUGACUCCUCUUCAUUUCCCCCUAAUUUCCCCUUUGAAUGCCGCCCCCAAUCGCCGGGAACGGCCGCGCCAAGUCCGGCCGCCUUCCAUUGCCGCCGGCCGGCUUUUCCGCCGCCGUUCCGACCUCCCCCGUGGCCGGCUCCCUCUUCUCUCAUAUAAAAUAGAACCCCCUCUUUACGUUCUACCGUUUUAGCCUCUUCCCGAGCUCUCCCGUGGUCUCUAGCCACCUCCCCACCGUCGCCCUCUCUCUCCCACGUUGCCGGCCGGCCUCCAGCCGCCUCUCCCGCCUCGCCGGAGCGUCGUCCGGCCGCGCCGUCGCCUCCUCCAGCGUCGCCGCCACCUCCUCCACCCCGGCUUGCCCUCCGUUUCGCGAGGUGACCCCCGGAGCUGCCUCCCCGCCGUCGCCCUUCUCGUUUCUCCGCGCCGGCCGCCUCCAGUCGCCUCUCCCGCCUCGCCCGUGCGCCGUCCGGUCACGCCGUCUUCUCCCUCGGCCUCGCAGCCACCUCCUCUCCCUCGGUCAGCCCUCUGUUUCGCGGGGAAAACACCGGAGACGCGUCCUCGCCGGCGUCCAGUGGCGUCGCCACCACUUCUCCGCCUCCGGCCGCCUCUGCCGCGUCCCCGGUGCGCCGGCCGACGUCGCCACCACCUCUCCCGGCACCGGAGUGCCGUCCUCUCUCCCGGCCAGGCCACGGCGUCGCCCGAAUUUCGCCGGAACGCCGUCAUCUCCGCGCCGGCCUCUCCUUCCUCCUCGUCGGCUCGUCGCCCCGCUGCACCACCACCUUCACCAACAUCGCAGCGGCGUGUUCCACGCCAUCCCCUCCUCCGCUCAGCCGCUGCUGCCUGCCAUCAUCGUCAUCGUCGUCUCCGUUCGUCCUCGCCGAUCGACGUCCCAUCGGUUGCCCGGCUCGUCGUCUCGCGGCGCCGCCUCCGUCAUCGUCAUCGUAGCGGCGUGUUCCACGUCGUCCUCGUCCCCGUGCAGCUGCUGCUGGCUGCCCCUCGUCGCCCCCUCGCCGGUCCCGGUCGUCGUCGUCGUCGUCGUCCUCUCGUCGUUCCCGGUCGUCGUGGCGUUCGUCCCUCCGUCGAGCCGUUCUCGUCCGUCGUCCGCGUUCGUCAAGCGAGCCGCUGCAGCCCCGUCCUCGUCUCCGUCCUCGGCUCCGCGUCGUCAAGCCUCGUGCCGGCCGCGUCUCGCCUUUGUCCAAGGAUCGCCGCCGAAGUCGUUCCCUCGCCGUUCGCCUCCGUCGUCCCCGAGCUGUCCUCGCCGGUCCCGUUCGUCGUUGUCGUUCCCACGCCUCGUCGCGUGGUGGUAAGGAUCCGUCCUCUCGCUUCCCCGCCCUCGUCCUUCCGGUGUCGCCCCGUACCCGUUGUGCGGUCGUCGACCCCGGUACCCGUGUACCGGUGUCGGUAGUCGUUCACGUGUGCGGGUGGCGACCGUGUAGUGUCCGUGUUAGUGUGCCCGCUCGGUAGCCGCGUGGUUUCCACGUGUGCAACCCGUGUGGUGUCUAGUGGAGUCCGUUUGUCGGCCACUCGCCUCGGUUGACACACGGGGUCCGCUUCCGUCGACCCGUGGACCGUCUCUGUGUACCCGGUCUACCGUGGUCCUUUAGGUUGACAUGUGGGGUCCGCAUGUCAACGGCGCAGCCUUCCUGUCUUUUCCAGGCUAGCGCUUACACAUGUUUUAUAAUUGCAAAGCUUAAUUAUAAUAAUUCGCAAAUCUCCAUAUAACAGCAUUAAACUUCGGAUGAUCAUAUCCUGGUCAUACGAGCUCCGAAUCGACCCGUUCAAGUCUCUUAAUGUUUGUUAUAACCUAAAGAACCCUGUGCUUUGUUUUUAUGUAUUGUUAUUGCUUCUUUAUAGGCUUGUAGCUUUGUUUGUGUGCUUCGCGUAGCUUCUGUCGUUCCGGAGGUUCCCGAAGCGUGGUUCGUGGUCGUCGCCGAAGGUUCGGAAGGCCGUUCUCUCUGAGCAAGGCAAGUCACAUCAUCCUUGAACAUAUUGAAUCCCAGUUUGUAAAAUUAUGUUGAUUUAAAUUAUUGCAUUACCGCUUUAUUUAAAUUCCCGCGUUAUCACUGUUUUAUCUAGCCAUGCCUAUUUACCUUUGUUAUGACCUUAUUAUUGCUAUUGUUAUUAUUACCUUGUUCACCCUAGAGUAAACAAAACCUCAACUAGUGGACACUCUACUCGUGGUAUCCCUAGUUUAAAUUUAGGUAGAUGCUUCGCAAUUUAAUAGGACAACAUUAGUUAGAUUUUAUAACUUUAGACUUUGGGAAUUUCUCAUAUCAUUUGGACACUAUGGAAUUGUUGGAUUAUGGUGGAAUUGGACAUACACCUCUCUUCCUCUUUCAAAACCCCUAAAGCCUGUUUUCGGUGGGGUUUGGGUGCAUGCCAGUUAUGGGAAGUAGCACCCCGGCCACUAUAAGGAUUAAGCUCGGGCCUCUGUUGCAAAGCACUACCGUACUAACCACAUGUCUAAUGGGUAAGGCUUAACUCGGUGCUCAGUCUAGUCCUGAACAAAAGGACACGGAUUGGAGAUGGAUGAAGUCGGGUGUCGAUGGACAUUCUCCAGGGCAAAUGAAGGCUACACGAGCUGCGGCCCGGUAGUCGAGAUGUCGUAUGGCAGAGGGUUGGUGCCCUGCUGCUAGGGGCUCAGUUCUGCCUGCCUGUCCCGGGUAUCCCGGCCGUAGGUGGGAUUGGGUCGGUACUUUUGUUCACGGCUAGGAUGGGUGAAGGGUUAUGUCACAUCUUUACGACGGGUUCCAAGGCCAUGGAAUGCGGAGUAAAGAUGUGUCUUGUGGGUAAAGAUGUACACCUCUGAUCAGAGUAAAUCUAUUCGAAUAGCCGAGCCCUCGGAUAUGGGCAAGCCUAGCAAUGUACCCAAGUCAGUGUUUUAAUUCUUAAAAUUUGCUCAACAACUAAAAUAUGGAAUGGUUGGCCUGGGUUGGCUUGGGACGAGCUGGGACCCAGGGUCGGGUUGCCAGUUCGGUCCGAAUCAUCGUAGGCCUUGGGUUAAGGCAGGUUCGUGAGGGUUCACGGCCUUGAUUAAUAAUACUGUGUAGCUCUAGGAUCGUCUUUACAAAAUGGCUUUGGGCAACUAAGUGGCUUUUAAAUGCUGUUUACUGCAAAACUUAACCUCUAUAUUAUUAUCCCCUUGUACUCCUUUGCAUUAAUUGUGCAUCCCCGGUGUGGCUUGCUGAGUACUGUGGUUGUACUCAUUCUUGCUCAAUCUUUCCCCUCUUCAGUAAGAGAAGCUUUGGAGAAGAAGUCUUAGGUGGAGUCCUGGCUUAUACCCCAGUUGAGCGCCUGUGAAGAUGGAGCCGUAGGCCCGCUAGUCCGCUGCUGUUUAUUUUUGAUUGUCAGGCCUUAAGUGCCUUUGUAAUAAUGUAAAUAUUAUCGAUAUAAUAAAGAUGUGUCUUUUAUAUCAUGUUUGUGUGGUGUACCCCGGCUUUUCCUGGGACGGGGAUUAAUACACUAGCGUUCGGGAAAAGGCAAUUUUCCCGGUCGCGACAAUGGACUUCUCGCCACUUCUCAGUCUGGCGCACUAUAAUGAAUCAUGCUAUACAAAGGAUAAAGCCGUUGCCCACGCUGGCUUGUGGUUGGCACGAUAAAUGUUUCACAACAGUAGCUCGCGAACCGGUCCUUAAUUGCCAUGAGCACGACCUUCAAAACCAUGUGCUCACAACCCACCAUUAAUCAUAUUUUAAUUACCAAUUAAUUAUCAUAACACGAUUAACCAUCGUGAGCUACCAUUAAAUAUAACCAUAAUAAUAAUGUAGUAUAUAUGAUUCAUCCCAUUAGUGAGCUAAUGUUUCUAAACAUGGCUAAGCAAUUAUAUAUAUAUAACAUUUAGCUGAACCAAACCAAUACAUAAGGUUCAAGCUAAUCAAUUUAUUACCCAAGGUAUCAAGGAAUAGAGCAUUCAAUGCAAAUUGGCCAUAACAAAGGAAAAGGUUCACACCACCCGGUGACAUUCAAAAAUAAAUGCACAGUUGAAAUAAAUAGAGAAUUUAAAUAUAGGAUCAACAUGCUCAAAGGAUUGUGUUUAGGAUCUGUGUGACUUGCCUUGCAAUAAUCGAUCUUCAAUUAAUCUUCUUGAUCACUUCCGACGCACUCACGAACCUUCGCAACGACGGAAACGACAAGCUAACACGCAAAACGAAGAAAAAGACUAAUAAAAAACCAAAUAAACAGUACAUAAAAAGUAAACAAACAUGUAGAUCAUAAUUUUAGAUGAAUUAUGAGACUUGAACGGCCUCAUUCUGACUUCAAAUGAAUUUAUUAUGAAUUUUACAAGAUUAAAUCUAAUUAAAGCCCAUUUAAAAAGAAUUAAAUAAAUUUAAUUCAAUUUAUGGACAAUUUUAAUAUGUAGAUCUUUAUUUUAGAAAAAUUUAGCAACUUGAACUACAUUAAACUGAGUUACGAUGAUUUAGUUAUGAUUUUCCGAAGAUUUAAUCUAUUAAAAGAAAAGGAAAAAGAUGAGAUGAUGACGUCAGCAUGACGUCAUCCAUGGCCGGCGGCUCGGAUUGGCGACCUCGCCGGAGCUAGGAUGGUCGGCCGGGGAUUUGGAGGGCACCUACGCAUAGAGGACGACGAGAUGAACCCAACGGUACUCACCACGACGACAAACGACGAACGACGACGGCCGGCGACGAGAAGGGCGACGGCGGCGGCUCGGUUGAACGGCGACGGCGAGCUCCGGUGGCCGGCGGCAAAGAAGGACGGGCGGCCGAGCUUCUCCACCCCUUGGCGCACCUCUUGGCGAUGGCGGCAAGCGGCGGCGACGACGGAGGCGGCGGCGCGACGACGCCGAAGAUGGCCGGCGGCGGCGGCGAGCUAGACGCGCGUGGCGCGGCGGCUAGGAGGCACGGGAGACCACGGGAGAGAGAGCAAAUGAAAGAGGGCGACGAGGGGAUGCUAUAUAUAGCCUUGGAUUGAAGAGAUCGAACUCCAAACGAGAGGAAUCGACUCGGGAAAAAUCCAAACUCGGUUUUAGGGAUAAAAUCAAAACGAACUCGAUUCGGAUAAAAUACCCAACGAUUCGCUCCGAUUCUUGAGGGGAAAGAUAGAGGAGAAUGAGAGGAUAAAAUCCCCUCAAAAACCCGGAGGAAACGGGGUCGGAUUGGGUUGGAUUUGAGAGAAGAAAGGAGGCGCGGUCGGUCGGCAGCUCGGCUCGGCUUGGCCGGCCGGAGGUAGGGGAUGACCCCGACAUGUGGGCCCCACAUGUCGGUGGCUAGAGGAGGAGGGGCGGCGGCUGCUUGGCUGGGCCGACUUGGGCCGGUUCGGCCGCGCGGAGAAGAGAAGAGUUGGGCCGAAUUCGGCCCAACGGCUUAAAGGAGGGGUUUUUGAACUUUUUCAAUAAAAACAAUUUGUGAAAUGUUGUUUCAUUUAUUAAAAAUACUUCCCUUGCUCAAAUAAUUCCCAGAAAAAUCUAGAAAAUAGAGGAGCAAGCAUAGUAUUUAAUAAAAUUUUAUCUAGCUCAUUUUUAUAUUGAAAAUUUUCCUAGAAAAUUAGGGUUUAGCUUGUAGGUUUUUAAAAUAAUUUCUAAAAAAUUCCAAUUAAACAACAAUUUAUAUAUUUAGGAUUUUAAACAAGAAAAACUCUUAACAAUUAUAGUUAGAUCAUUUAAUGAUCAAAUAAUUACUAAACUGUUCUUUGUAUCAUUUAGGAAUUGAGCUCCGAAAAAUCCGAGAAAAUUCCAGAGAGUAUAAUUAACCAUGGAGAAUUUAAUAAAAAUUAAAUCCAUCCAUGCUUUAUAUUUAGGAAAUUUUAUUUCCCACAUUUAACUUCACUUGUAAAUUAAUGAACAUUUAAUAUAAAUUCUAUUAAUAAUUUACUAAAUUCUUUAUAAAUCUUGAAACGAAAAUCAGGCUGUGACAGAACUCCAAACGAGAGGAAUCGACUCGGGAAAAAUCCAAACUCGGUUUUAGGGAUAAAAUCGAAACGAACUCGAUUCGGAAAAAAUCCUCAACGAUUUGCUUCGAAACUUGGGAAAAGAUAGAGGAGAACGUGAGGAACAAAACCCCUCAAAAACCCGAAAGAAUCGGGGUCGGAUUGGAGCAGAAACGGAGGCGGAAAAGGGCGGCUCGGGCUUGCUAGGGCGGCCGGCCGGAGGUAGGGGAUGGAUCCGACAGGUGGGCCCCACCUGUCGGUCUCCUGAGAGGAGGGCACGGGCGGCUCGGCUGGGCCGGCUUGGGCCGCGCGGGAGAGAGAGAAUGUUGGGCCGAAUUCGGCCCAACGGCUAAGGAAGGGGAUUUUUGAACUUUUUUGAAUAAAAACAAUUUGUGAAAUGUUGUUUCAUUUAUUAAAAAUACUUCCCUUGCUCAAAUAAUUCCCAGAAAAAUCUAGAAAAUAGAGGAGCAAGCAUAGUAUUUAAUAAAAUUUUAUCUAGCUCAUUUUUAUGUUGAAAAUUUUCCUAGAAAAUUAGAGUUUAGCUUGUAGGCUUUUAAAAUAAUUUCUAAAAAUUCCAAUUAAACAACAGUUUAUACAUUUAGGAUUUUUAGGGCGUGACAAACCUACCCCCCUUAAACGGAAUCUCGUCCUCGAGAUUCAGAAGAACUGGCGAACAGAUGAGGAUGAGCUGACUUCAAUUCAUCUUCUCGCUCCCAAGUGGCUUCUUCUUCUGAAUGAUUGCUCCACUGAACCUUGCAGAACCGUAUAACGCGAUUCCUGGUAUUCCUCUCGCUUACUUCCAAAAUUCUGACGGGCUUCUCAACAUAAGUUAAAUCUUCUUGAAGCUCUAUACGAUCAGGAUCUGCUUCCUCCGUAGGUACACGUAAACAUUUCUUCAACUGAGACACAUGGAACACGUCAUGCAUUCCCGUCAUUGACGAAGGCAACUCUAACUGAUAAGCUACUUCACCUCUUCGACUCACAAUCUUAAAAGGUCCCACAAAGCGCGGUGCCAAUUUCCCUUUGGUUUGGAAACGAUGAACACCUCGUAACGGCGUAACCCGAAGGUAUACAUAAUCUCCUUCUUCGAAAGCCAAAUCUUUGCGACGAUUGUCGGCAUAGCUCUUCUGACGUGACUGAGCAACACGCAACCUUUCUUGGAUAAUCUUCACUUUUUCUUCUGCCUCUCGCAAUAUGUCUGUCCCAAAAACCUGACGUUCACCGGUUUGAUCCCAAAGAAGCGGCGUACGACACUUUCGACCAUAUAAUGCUUCAUACGGAGCCAUUUGCAAACUAGCUUGAUAACUAUUGUUAUAUGAGAAUUCCGCGUACGACAAAUUCUUAUCCCAACUUCCACCAAAAUCUAGAACACAGGCUCUCAACAUAUCUUCUAAAAUUUGGUUUACUCUUUCUGUCUGACCAUCUGUUUGAGGGUGAUAAGCGGUACUGAAAUUCAAACGGGUACCCAUCUCAACUUGUAAUUUCUGCCAAAACUUCGAAGUAAACUGGCUACCUCUAUCUGACACUAUCUUCUUAGGAACGCCAUGCAAACAUACCACUCUGGCCUUGUAUAACUCUGCAAGCUUAUUCCCCGUAUAGGUUGUUUUGACCGGUAUGAAAUGCGCGACUUUUGUCAACCUAUCAACCACUACCCAAAUAGAAUCAUGUCCUGCCGACGUUCUGGGUAGACCGGUUAUAAAAUCCAUUCCUAUUUCUUCCCACUUCCACUCUGGAAUCUUUAACGGUUGUAACAGAUCGGCUGGCUUCUGAUGUUCUGCCUUGACCCGCUGACAUACAUCACAUAGAGCCACAUAUUCUGCUAUCUCACGACGCAUACUGGCCCACCAGAAUUGUUGCUUUAAAUCUUGAUACAUCUUAGUGCUUCCAGGGUGAAUGGAAUACAAAGUUUCAUGAGCUUCUUUCAUGAUAGUAUCCUUCAACUCCUUAUUAUCUGGGACGCAAAUUCUUUCUCCUAACCACACAGUACCUUGCUCAUCUUCUACAAAACCGAUGGCUUUUCCUCUUCUCAUGUUUUUCUUUAUUUCUUGGAUAUCAGGAUCAUUCACUUGAGCUUCUCUAACUUGAUCAAACAGAGUAGGUUUAGCUUCUAAAGCGGCCAUAAAACCUUUGCUGACUAUUCCCAAGUUCAACUUUUCAAAUUCUUGGCAUAACUCCCGAGGUAAACGUCGACCUUCUGACAUAUUACAGUAGCUUUUCCUGCUAAGUGCAUCGGCUACAACAUUUGCUUUCCCCGGGUGAUAGUGGAUUUCCAUAUCAUAAUCUUUAAUCAACUCUAACCAUCUUCGCUGACGCAUGUUCAAAUCAGGUUGAGUGAAAAUAUACUUCAAACUUUUAUGAUCCGUAUAUACCUCUGUACAGUUACCGAAAAGAUAAUGACACCAAAUCUUCAAUGCAUGCACCACAGCAGCCAAUUCUAGGUCAUGCGUUGGGUAGUUAUUCUCAUGGGGACGUAAUUGCCUAGACGCAUAAGCAACCACCUUUCCUUCUUGCAUCAACACACAACCCAAACCGAGUCGGGAUGCAUCACAAUACACUUGGAAACCUUUCCUCGAAUCAGGCAAAACUAACACAGGCGCAGUCACUAGCCUUUUCUUCAAUUCUUGGAAACUUUGUUCACAAUCCUCUGUCCACUUGUACUUUACUUCCUUCUGAAGCAGACGAGUCAUUGGUCUGGCGAUCUUUGAAAAGUUCUCAAUAAACCUGCGGUAAUACCCAGCAAGUCCAAGGAAACUACGAAUUUCUGAAACCGUCUUGGGUUGCUUCCAACUUAACACUGACUCCACAUUGCUUGGAUCUACUGCCACUCCUCCGGACGAGAUGACAUGACCAAGAAACUUCACUUCGGACAACCAAAAUUCACAUUUACUGAACUUGGCAUAAAGCUGAUGCUCACGUAGUUUCUCUAAAGCUAGACGAAGAUGCUCUUCAUGUUCUUCCUUCGUCUUGGAGUAAAUAAGAAUGUCAUCAAUAAACACCACGACAAACUUAUCCAGAUAUUCCAUAAACACCUUGUUCAUCAGAUUCAUGAAAAAGGCUGGGGCAUUAGUGAGUCCAAAUGACAUAACGGUACAUUCGAACAUACCAUACCGAGUUGUGAAAGCGGUCUUUGGUAUAUCUUCCUCACGGAUUCGAAGUUGAUGAUAUCCAGAACGGAGAUCUAUCUUAGAGAAAACUGUAGCACCUUCCAGUUGAUCAAACAGGUCAUCAAUUCUGGGUAGAGGAUACUUAUUCUUGAUAAUCACCUCAUUCAACGCUCGAUAAUCCACGCACAUUCUCUGAGUAUGAUCUUUUGUCACGCCCGGAAUUUCUAUCCAAAAUUCCAAACGCUUACAUGUGUGUGAACCCUCGUCCAGGAAUCAGCCGAGGCACACAAUAACAAAUUGAUAAUAGAGUACAAUUAUUACUCUAAUUAAUAAGCGUAUAAAGUGUCAUUACAGAGGUAGAUAGUUCCUCUCAAACAAUAAAUAUCUAAGCAGCGGAAAAAGAAAUAAACGGCGCAGACGGCUCCACUCCACAGGCAGCUUGACCAAGGCUACACCUAAUCCUCCACUCCAUCAGCUUCACUGUAGAACUCUUCCUCUGAUGAAUGAUUGCAAGGUGAGUAUAUGACAUACUCAGCAAGCCACGCAGCAAAUAUGCAAGUGCACAGGAUAACAAAGGAUGGCAUAAUAGGGUUUCAUUUGCAAAAGCAGCAUUUAGCAAACAUUUGAGAAUUUAAUCAAACCGUUAAGUAAUAAUUAAACAAUAUUAAUCCAACGCUAUACAACAUACCCUGUUGUAUAGGCCCAACCAUUCUAAACAACCACCUCGGCUGCACAGUUCUAUCUCCAAACCAGGAAUAUACCAUUCCAAACCAGGAGCUAAUCAAAUUAUUACCAGUUAAAGCAUCAUUUACUAAGAUGAGAAGUGUGGGACUAAUCACGAAAGACAUUGUUAGACUCGCCCAUAACCGCGGGCACAGCUAUUCGAAUAGUUUUACUCUGAUCAGAGGUGUACCACUGUACCCACAAGACACAACCCCACAUCAUGUCACCAUGUGCCUCAAUACCACCACGGUACCUCGGAAAGGAGUUGUGACAAUACCCCUCAUACAACACAAUCCACUGCAGUGCACCUUCCUGGAUCAUAAUCACCCCCUUAUAAACAAGGCAUGGACUCCCCAGCGACCCCCGUGGGCUUAUCUCCGCCACUUCUCAGUCU
This 22954-nucleotide long non-coding RNA is filed under the name Oryza sativa (Asian cultivated rice). Its description in RNAcentral is "long non-coding RNA (OSAT_LNC000955)". The record is from RNAcentral. Lineage: Eukaryota; Viridiplantae; Streptophyta; Magnoliopsida; Poales; Poaceae.